CUGUGGUUCUUUUGACUCUGUAAGAUUUCAGGCUGUGAGCCAUUACUUCUGUCAGCCUGGACGUUUUUUACAUUCUGCUUCCAAUUUCCAACAUAAGCCAAGCUUGUGAAAAUUAUGCAUUAAACAAGAUUCAUAUCAUGAGGCUUUGCAGUAACUCUCUCGGCCACUAGAGGUCUACCCCCCAUUCAUGGGUUCACUGCUGGUCUGUCCUGAGUUCCAUGCUUAAAACAAACCAAAUACAUAAGAUAAUGCAAUGAUUUCCCUAACUUGGUAUUCAGAGCUGUCCACAGUGCAGUUCAGAUCCACAUUUCUAACCUCCUGGUCCACUAUUUACCACAUACAAACCAUCACUCCCAGACAAAGCAUAUUCUACUGUUUCCCAAAUUGGGCCUUGGGCCUCUCCAUCUCUGUGCAUUAACACACACUAUCUGCCUCUACUAAUAAACUGACAUCCCCUACACAUAAACAUACACACACACACAAUCCCCAAUCUGUACCAAUCCCUAAUGAGUGCUAUACUACAUGUGACAGAUCUCAAACGAUUACUUGUACCUUGAUUUAGCACAGACGCUUUGCCUCUCCAAUGGGACGGUGAUCUCCUGAAUCCACAGAGGUCUUUCUAUCCCACAUGAGUGCCCAAGAGCAAUAAAAGGAAGGUCUGACCAUUUAUUGAGAAUCUCAUAUGUACCCAGCACACUGCUGGCCAUUUUAUAAUCUUGACCGAUCUGCCUAUUAGAUGAACAACUCCACUGCCUUUGCAGAAAUUGAGCCUUGAGGACAUAAAAUUAUUUAUCCAAGGUCACACUGUAAGUAAAGCAAAAGCCAGAAUUCAAAGCCAGGUGUGACCCCAAAAGCCAUGUAUUUUUGCCCCAAUGAAUCACAUCUAUUUAGCAUCACACAUAAUACCUCUUUAAUAAAUAUUUAGGACUUGCUUGAAUAGUAAAGGUGCAGCUUGUGCUGAGUAUCUGGCAAGAUUAGACCACCAACCGACCAAUACCACGUGUCCCCAGUCCACAGACCCCUUGAGUCUUCACGUGACAACUCAGGCAGCUUAGCAGCCCCCAAACAAGCCAAGGCUACUUAAAGAUGGAAAAGCCUCUUUCUCUGGCUGGAGCAGCUCUGCAGACACUCUGCCUAGCCCACCCCUGUCUACAGGCUGCAAGGGAUCUAAUGAUCUUCUCAGAUGAAAACCGGGGAGGUGAGAGCCACAGAGAAGUGACAAGGCAACUGUCAAAGAGUCCAUGGAGGCUCGCAAGCACAUUUUCCCCGCGAGGAGCUUUACAGUUCCAGCAGCACGCCGAUUCUCCGAUUCAGUUAGCCAUAAUAUUAUGAAAGACGCUGCAAACAACUGGAUUUCAUUUCAAACAGCAUAAAUUAACAAAUUGCACAUGUGCACACAGCAUCUGCUAACCUAAUAAUUAAGAUAUUUUAAAAGUCACCUAAUGGCACCAAAGUCAGGAAUAAUGGGAUAAUUGUUACAGUGCUUUAAAAAAAAAAUUUAAAGACAUAUAAUCCAGUCACCCAUGGAGCGCACCAAACGGAAGGCUGCUUUUUCAUGGUCUCUUGGAGCCCCGUGUUUGGAUUAGCGUGAUGUGAAAGGCAGCAACUGCUGUUAUGUAACUAAACCCUGCAUAUACAGUUGUCAGUCUGGGUAAAUUUAACUCUGCAGGUUUAAGGCAGAGCUGGCUUGCCAGAGCAGAACUUAGGAAACAAGGAACAUUUAAAGACACACUGCCCCGUGGACCACGGGGGGCAAGCUGGCCCGGGCGCUGCUGGAGAAGGCCAGCGCGGCCUGCCUGUGCCAUGCCAGGGCGCUAGCCCCCCACAAUAGCUGCUUUGAAAACAAUGAGGGCUGACAAGAGCAUGGUUGUUCAAUUACCAAGCUGCCUGCAUUUUCUCUCUCCCUCCAUGGCAAUAAAGGCACUUAGGGGGCCUACUGUAGUUUGGAAGGAAAGGCACUGAAACCCAGAAUCAGGGGGAGGCUUUAAAUAACAGGUUGCUUUGCAGCAGCAACACAGUGGAUCCACAUCCCCAGGCAAGCGCUCCACUGAGGCCAUGGCCUGGCCGAGGCUGCCAAGGGCAGAGCUGUGGCCUGCAUUCCAGGCCUGGCCGGGCACUUCCAGCCGUGUGGUUCAGAAGGACCCCCACUCGGAGGUCACUGCCUUGUGCCUCAGCUUCGCCAGCUGCCAACUAAGGAUCAGCAUUAACUCUCCAGGGGGUCCUUCCAAAUCUAUCGUCUGCCCCUACCCCCACCCCCACCCCAGCUUUAUGGGCAGGUCUUUAUUCAUUACAGAUAAGGAAUCACUCUGCAGGGGGACUCUCAUUCUAAACUGGGCUAUGUCAGGUGAGGCCAAGAGAAGAACGUCACUGGGAACUGUCAAGAUGUCAAGAAAGAUAAAUGCACGGACCAUGUUUCCCAUUGUCACUCCCCAGCAGAACUCAUUAUGAAGUGGGUCUGCCCUGGAGCCCAUCCAAAGAGCCUUGGUGAAGAGGCUCCCCCAAUAAGAUGGUCUCCCUGUGCGUUUCCCAUGACCUGAUGGUGAGGGGUAUGGCCAGGAGAGACCCCACUACCCCAUAGGGAGCACAAGUGAGGCUUGAGAGCUGUGCCGGUUUGUCUGUUGUCUGUUUUGUGGGGUGUAAGGGACACAUUCUACACGGACAGAGUAGGCUGGAAGAGAUGCUGAAAAAACUCCCUGCAUGGAGAUUUUCCAUCCUGUUUUAUAAACUCAACGGGGCGAGACUAAGCAAGCCAGCGAGCUCCUCACCUCAGGCACAAAAAUGUCAAGGAGGCCAAAAAACCUAGUGAUCAAGAUAAGUAAUAUUUUAAUACAGGGGUGGGGGAAGGACAAAUCGGGAACUUGGAAUUAGUAGAUGCAAACUACUACACAGAGAGAGGAUGAAUGGCAGGGUCCUACUGCAUAGCAUGGGGAAGCACAUUCACUAACCUGUGACAAACCAUAAUGGAAAAGAAUAUGAAAAAGAAUGUGUAUAUAUGUAUAACUAAAUUGCUUUGCUAUGCAGCAGAAAUUAACCCAACCCUGUAAAUCAAGUCUACUUCAAUCAAAUAAGUUAAAAAAUAAGAAUAAUACUUCGGAGUUCCUGUUGUGGCUCGGCAGGUUAAGAAUCCGACUAGGUUCCACGAGGAUGCGAGUUCAAUCCCUGGCCUCGCUCAUUCGGUUAAGGAUCUGGUACUGUCGCAAGCUGUGGCAUAGGGGACAAAUGUGGCUCCAAUCUGGUGUUGCUAUGGCUGUGGUGUAGGCCUGCAGCUGCAGCUCUGAUUUGAUCACUAGCCUGGAAACUUCCCUCUGCUGCAGGUGCGGUUCCCCAAAACAUAAAAAAUAAAAAAUACUAACAAUAUUUUAAUACAAUACUUUAUUGAAGUUGUUCGGGAAAAAAAUAUCAUGAGAAAAAUAUCAGAAUCUUAAAUAGAGUGAGGAGCAGAAUGGUAAUGACCAGCCAGCCAGAUUCUUCUACAAGAGAAGGUCUAGUUCGUGUGAAAUAAACUACUACAACAUCUUCUGAUCCCACUUUAAAUUUAGAUCUAGGAAAAUAACCAGGGGAAAUUACCGCUGAUGACUGAUCCAUGUUUUCAUCUCUGUCACAUCCACAUCUGCAUUUGCUAAACAUUCUGAUCAUGGAUAUUCGGGAAUGAGCACUGUUUUGCAGAAUCGUGCUAGUGGGAUAUGUCAGUAAAAGGGGACUGGGCAUCUAUCUGCUGAGGCCAGACUGUGCAGAAAUUCUCAAGGAUGACUCCCAGCAAAGUCUGUGUCCUGGAAGGAAAUAUUUUCCAAACAAGAUUUAUUCUACAAUGACAAUUCUUUAAAAAAAUUGCUAUUCUAGCCUUGAUAAAGCUUUGGCCUGCAUUAUAUUUUCCUUUAAAAAGAAAGGACGGUUCUAUAUGUAGCUGAAGGUUUACUUUUUGGAAACCUAAUUCUGACAACACCACCUCUCACUGGCUCCCAACUGCCUACAGACUUAAAUUCAAAUUCCAAAGCCCAAAGUAAUCAAGAGCCUUACUCUCUGCACGAAUUCUACAGGAUUUGCCUUUAUUCCCCUUUCGUCCGGCCUCGUGCCAGGAGGCCUGUCCGUUUGCCCAUCUCAGCUUUCCAGCUCUCCUGCCUCUGCCUACGCUGUAGCCCCCUAGCAGCAGAAACCCCCUUCUCUCACCUGCCCAACCAGCUCACCUUCUUUAAAUCUUAUUUAUUCCUCCAAUCUCAAUUCUGUAUCUGCCUUCUCCACGAAGCUCCAGAGCUCUGCUGGGUGCUAAAGUGUAGGUAGUAAGAAAGAGCUCCAAGUCGCUUUUGGCUUUCAGUUUAACCCCAAAUUAACAAAAACACGUAUUUGGCCAAAAAUGCCCCAGUGUCGAAGCAUGCUGAUUCUUCCUUCUUUGCCCUCGGGAGUAGCACCGUUGAGGGAAGAAAAGAAAAAGAAAAAGAAUAAAGCUCCUUUUCCUCACUGAUUCUUCCUGGAACAAAGGAGGUAUUCAAUAAAUGAACACACAAACAGAUUCAACUUCUAGUGAAGAUGAAGUAUGGAAAAGAGGGUGUCCAGCAGGGCCAGAUACAGAUGCAA
Molecule: long non-coding RNA, 4572 nt
Filed under: Sus scrofa (pig)
Lineage: Eukaryota; Metazoa; Chordata; Mammalia; Artiodactyla; Suidae
Description: lncRNA (ENSSSCG00040031445.1)
Source: RNAcentral